CUACGGGGGGCAGCAGUAAGGAAUAUUGGGCAAUGGACGCAAGUCUGACCCAGCCAUGCCGCGUGCAGGAUGACGGCCCUACGGGUUGUAAACUGCUUUUAUACGAGAAAAAACUCCUGAUCGUGAAUCAGGACUGAUGGUAUCGUAAGAAUAAGCAUCGGCUAACUCCGUGCCAGCAGCCGCGGUAAUACGGAGGAUGCAAGCGUUAUCCGGAUUCAUUGGGUUUAAAGGGUGCGUAGGCGGAAUGAUAAGUCAGUGGUGAAAUCCUACAGCUCAACUGUAGAACUGCCAUUGAUACUGUUGUUCUUGAGUACAUUUGAAGUGGGCGGAAUGUGUCAUGUAGCGGUGAAAUGCAUAGAGAUGACACAGAACACCGAUCGCGAAGGCAGCUCACUAAACUGUAACUGACGCUGAGGCACGAAAGCGUGGGGAUCAAACAGGAUUAGAUACCCGCGUAGUC
RNAcentral lists this ribosomal RNA (460 nucleotides) under uncultured bacterium. RNAcentral's name for it is "partial 16S ribosomal RNA". It matches the Rfam family "Bacterial small subunit ribosomal RNA", at positions 339 to 795 of the family's 1533-position model. The record is from RNAcentral.